Long non-coding RNA from Zea mays, 236 nucleotides. RefSeq lists it as uncharacterized. Lineage: Eukaryota; Viridiplantae; Streptophyta; Magnoliopsida; Poales; Poaceae. The record is from RefSeq and is a predicted model, not a curated record. The transcript is spliced from 3 exons.
CAAAUACUUCACUAUUGGUCUCUAGAGAGGAAGCUCUGCCAACCAUUACUAAUAACUGAGAAGGAUUUGGCAAUCGCUUAUCUUUGACUCAAUACCUUAUGACCUUGGAAAGGUUUGAACCCGUCAGGGACUAAAGAUGCCAAAGGUUGAAGAAGGGUCACGAGCAAAGAGGGCAUUUACUAUCCUUUUCAAUCUUCACCGUUGGAAGGUAUGGUUUGAUGAACACACAACAAAUG